AAGGAAUAUUGCGCAAUGGACGAAAGUCUGACGCAGCGACGCCGCGUGGGGGAUGAAGGUCUUCGGAUUGUAAACCCCUUUCGGGAGGGAAGAUGGAGUAGGUAACCACUUGGACGGUACCUCCAGAAGCAGCCACGGCUAACUUCGUGCCAGCAGCCGCGAUAAUACGAAGGUGGCAAGCGUUGUUCGGAUUCACUGGGCGUACAGGGAGCGUAGGCGGUUAGGUAAGCCCUCCGUGAAAUCUCCGGGCCUAACCCGGAAAGUGCAGAGGGGACUGCUUGGCUAGAGGAUGGGAGAGGAGCGCGGAAUUCCCGGUGUAGUGGUGAAAUGCGUAGAGAUCGGGAGGAAGGCCGGUGGCGAAGGCGGCGCUCUGGAGCAUUACUGACGCUGAGGCUCGAAAGCGUGGGGAGCAAACAGGAUUAGAUACCCUGGUAGUCCACGCCUUAAACUAUGGAUACUAAGUGUCGGCGGUUUACCGCCGGUGCCGCAGCUAACGCAAUAAGUAUCCCGCCUGGGAAGUACGGCCGCAAGGUUG
This 535-nucleotide ribosomal RNA is filed under the name uncultured bacterium. Its description in RNAcentral is "bacterial SSU rRNA". It matches the Rfam family "Bacterial small subunit ribosomal RNA", at positions 356 to 896 of the family's 1533-position model. The record is from RNAcentral.